AGACGGCGGAGUAUGCAGCAUGGAUGAUUGAGCUUGUCGAGACUAGUAUGAGACAGGCACAUGACUUUGAGCGUCUCCAUAAGCAUGUUCCCGGUGCCCCACCUGGGGCAGCAGAUGGUCGUGGUCGCCGAGGAGCUGGUGGCCGUCGCAAAGGUGGUAGGGCUGACAGAGGUGAUGAGACUCCGUCGACUUCAGAGAUCCGGCCGGCGACUACAAAUAUCCCAUCGACUUCUCAUUCCCGGCCGUCGACUUCACAGACACCUCUGUAUACGCCGGACCCUUUUUCAGAUUAUGUGCCCUGGCCUUCAUUUCCACAUCCACCAGUUCGUGAUCCACAGGGUGAGCGGCCGGUUCGUGAUCUACAGGGUGGCCUACAUCUGCACUUCGACGACUCCAUGUUCGAGGACUUCGUGUUUGAUAUGGCACCAUCUGCAUCUCCUGCUCCGGAGGCCGCUCAGGAGCCCUCUCACCAGGCAUCUCAAGAGGCCGUCGACACACAGCUUUGACUUUUACAAUAAAAUAAAAUAAUUUAUUAAUUAUUUGUUUAUUUCAGGUUCAUUUUAGAAUAAAUUUAAAUUAAAUUGUUUAUAUGUUAUUUCAGGUUCAUUCCUCUGCGCCUGUGGACCCAUCUCCUGCACCGGGGCCCACUCAAGAGACCGUUGAGGAGCCAGCUCAGGAGCCCUCUCACCAGGCAUCUCAGGAGGCCGUCGACACACAGGUUCAUUCCUCUGCACCUAUGGACCCAUCUCCUGCACCGGGGCCCACUCAAGAGACCGUUGAGGAGCCAGCUUAGGAGCCCUCUCACCAGGCAUCUCAGGAGGCCGUCGACACACAGGUUCAUUCCUCUGCGCCUGUAGACGGGUCUCCUGAUGAGAUUGACGAGGAGCCAUGUUAUGAACCGGCCCCACUGCCCACCGUCAUUUCCCAUCGAAAGCAUGUUAUGAACCGGGGUUCGGGUCGAAAGAAGGGAACGAAGGGAAGCAAGGAUGAUCAUGCCAUAGAGCAUGUACAGAUUAAGAGAAGGAAGGGGGAUGGAGAUGAUGGUGG
This is an RNA transcript of Lycium ferocissimum, 1047 nucleotides long. RefSeq lists it as uncharacterized. NCBI's taxonomy places the organism in Eukaryota, Viridiplantae, Streptophyta, Magnoliopsida, Solanales, Solanaceae. The transcript has 3 exons. The record is from RefSeq and is a predicted model, not a curated record.